CGCUCCCUGCCCGGCCCGGCCCGCUCCACUCCGCUCCCGCCCUGCGCGACCGUGCCCUAAGCAAAAUGCGCUGGUAUCGCCACGGCCUUCAGGAGUAGCGGAAAGCAGGUCACGAAAGCUGGUGUGCUGGUGGUCGGACAAGGAAAUGGGUAAAAUGGGAAACUGCUGAGGAUAGUCACUUUUCGCUGUUUCCUCUAAUUGGUUCUUCUCUGUAAACAACUCAGGAUCCAGACACCUGAAACACAAGCUGAGGUGCUCUUUCACCAAGUAGUGUGAGGAAGAUUCACCACUCAACAAAAAAUUGUGGGAAGAAUGGAAAAGAAUGUGUGUCCUCUUGACUCAGUAACUUCUCACUUGACAUGUAAAGACCUGAACUUGGCAAAGUGUCUCAGAGCUUUUCUGCAUAAUAAAAUUAAGAUCCUUAAACAAAAGAAACUCACCAAAUGGAAACCCAACAGGAAUUUCUCAGAUAGUCAUACUGUUCCUAUCAGAAAGGAACUUUGCUAAGUAGCUGCAGUGAUGUAGUUGCUUCAUUUUGAGUCUUCAAUAAAAUGUCUACAUACCUUCAUUCAUUGUCCUUUUUUUCUGCCAGAAAUGAACCUCCACAAACAAUAGCAUUUUUUACACUUGCAAGAACCCUGAUGGUAAUUAAGUUUCUAAUGUAUUUUCUGUAACUUCCUUUGGUUUUUAUUCUGGCUUUGGAAAUUUGUAAUUAUUUAGCAUACAUCUUUGUUUCCUCUCUCACCCUCUGGCUGUCUGGUCUGUUUAGGUUGCAUAUUUCUGUGAUGUUUGUGCUAUGUUUGCACAUUGCCCAGUGUUAAGCAACU
Molecule: long non-coding RNA, 827 nt
Organism: Ficedula albicollis (Collared flycatcher)
Lineage: Eukaryota; Metazoa; Chordata; Aves; Passeriformes; Muscicapidae
Exons: 3
Source: RefSeq, a predicted model, not a curated record